GACGAACGCUGGCGGCGUGCUUAACACAUGCAAGUCGAACGGAAAGGCCCUGCUUUUGUGGGGUGCUCGAGUGGCGAACGGGUGAGUAACACGUGAGUAACCUGCCCUUGACUUUGGGAUAACUUCAGGAAACUGGGGCUAAUACCGGAUAGGAGCUCCUGCUGCAUGGUGGGGGUUGGAAAGUUUCGGCGGUUGGGGAUGGACUCGCGGCUUAUCAGCUUGUUGGUGGGGUAGUGGCUUACCAAGGCUUUGACGGGUAGCCGGCCUGAGAGGGUGACCGGCCACAUUGGGACUGAGAGACGGCGCAGACUCCUACGGGAGGCAGCAGGGGGGAAUAUUGCACAGUGGGCGGAAGCCUGAUGCAGCAACGCCGCGUGCGGGAUGACGGCCUUCGGGUUGUAAACCGCUUUCGCCUGUGACGAAGCGUGAGUGACGGUAAUGGGUAAAGAAGCACCGGCUAACUACGUG
RNAcentral lists this ribosomal RNA (468 nucleotides) under uncultured bacterium. RNAcentral's name for it is "partial 16S ribosomal RNA". It matches the Rfam family "Bacterial small subunit ribosomal RNA", at positions 28 to 507 of the family's 1533-position model. The record is from RNAcentral.